Molecule: ribosomal RNA, 445 nt
Filed under: uncultured bacterium
Lineage: Bacteria
Description: partial 16S ribosomal RNA
Rfam family: Bacterial small subunit ribosomal RNA
Source: RNAcentral
CCAGACUCCUACGGGAGGCAGCAGUGGGGGAUAUUGCACAAUGGGGGGAACCCUGAUGCAGCGACGCCGCGUGGGUGAAGAAGCGCCUCGGCGCGUAAAGCCCUGUCAGCAGGGAAGAAAAUGACGGUACCUGAAGAAGAAGCCCCGGCUAACUACGUGCCAGCAGCCGCGGUAAUACGUAGGGGGCAAGCGUUAUCCGGAUUUACUGGGUGUAAAGGGAGCGUAGACGGCUGUGCAAGCCAGAUGUGAAAGCCCGGGGCUCAACCCCGGGACUGCAUUUGAAACUGUUGGUCUUGAGUAUCGGAGAGGCAGGCGGAAUUCCUAGUGUAGCGGUGAAAUGCGUAGAUAUUAGGAGGAACACCAGUGGCGAAGGCGGCCUGCUGGACGACAACUGACGGUGAGGCGCGAAAGCGUGGGGAGCAAACAGGAUUAGAUACCCUUGUAA